CCUACGGGUGGCAGCAGUGAGGAAUAUUGGUCAAUGGACGAGAGUCUGAACCAGCCAAGUAGCGUGAAGGAUGACUGCCCUAUGGGUUGUAAACUUCUUUUAUAUGGGAAUAAAAUGUGCCACGUGUGGGAUUUUGUAUGUACCAUAUGAAUAAGGAUCGGCUAACUCCGUGCCAGCAGCCGCGGUAAUACGGGGGUUCCGAGCGUGAUCCGGAUUUAUUGGGUUUAACGGGAGCGUAGGGGGGUUGUUAAGUCAGUGGUGAAAGUUUGCGGCUCAACCGUAAAAUUGCCGUUGAAACUGGCAUUCUUGCUUACAGUAGAGGUGGGCGGAAUUCGUGGUGUAGCGGUGAAAUGCUUAGAUAUCACGAAGAACUCCGAUUGCGAAGGCAGUUCACUGGACUGCAACUGACACUGAGGCUC
RNAcentral lists this ribosomal RNA (419 nucleotides) under uncultured bacterium. Its description in RNAcentral is "partial 16S ribosomal RNA". It matches the Rfam family "Bacterial small subunit ribosomal RNA", at positions 338 to 754 of the family's 1533-position model. The record is from RNAcentral.